Molecule: small nuclear RNA, 172 nt
Organism: Pogona vitticeps (central bearded dragon)
Lineage: Eukaryota; Metazoa; Chordata; Lepidosauria; Squamata; Agamidae
Gene: U1
Rfam family: U1 spliceosomal RNA
About the family: U1 is a small nuclear RNA (snRNA) component of the spliceosome (involved in pre-mRNA splicing). Its 5' end forms complementary base pairs with the 5' splice junction, thus defining the 5' donor site of an intron.
Source: Ensembl
ACUCAGACUUGGCAGGGGAGAUACCAUUGUUGUAAAAGUGGUUUUUCCAGGGUAAGGCUUAUCUAUUGUACUUUGGAUGAGCUGACCCCUGUGAUUUCCCCAAACAUGGGAAAAUCAACUGCUUAAGUGGGGGACUGUGUCUCUGGUUUUUCUAGAAUCACUCUUUCCCCUU